CACGUUGAAACACCGGUUUUCGUACGAUCAACGAAGUUAAGCAACGUCGAACCUGGUCAGCAUGUAGACGGGUGACCGCUUGAGAAAACCAGGUGCUGUAA
Acanthosepion pharaonis is the source of this 101-nucleotide non-coding RNA. The record is from the annotation of a GenBank genome assembly. Lineage: Eukaryota; Metazoa; Mollusca; Cephalopoda; Sepiida; Sepiidae.